AGAGCUCAUUGCCAUUUGCCACCUUCACUCCACCCUGCUUACCUGGACAAGACUCUUUAACUUCUCAUCAGAGUGCAAAGCAAUACUCCUGAUUCAUUGCAUCUCUAAAACACCUUUACCAAGCCCACCUUCUUCUAAUAGCUCCUUGACUUUCAUGUAUCAUAGCAUUUCCAAAAUAAUCAUAUGGUGGUGGUGAAACCAACCUUGAUCCAAUCAGAAUUCAACCCCAAUGCCCACAUUUUUUAAAAAUAAAUUAAUCUUACCAGCUUCUAUUUUAUUUUAUAACAUUAGUUCUAAC
This 298-nucleotide long non-coding RNA is filed under the name Medicago truncatula (barrel medic). RNAcentral's name for it is "long non-coding RNA (MTRU_LNC006413)". The record is from RNAcentral. Lineage: Eukaryota; Viridiplantae; Streptophyta; Magnoliopsida; Fabales; Fabaceae.